This 446-nucleotide ribosomal RNA is filed under the name uncultured Streptococcus sp. RNAcentral's name for it is "bacterial SSU rRNA". It matches the Rfam family "Bacterial small subunit ribosomal RNA", at positions 933 to 1382 of the family's 1533-position model. Lineage: Bacteria; Bacillati; Bacillota; Bacilli; Lactobacillales; Streptococcaceae. The record is from RNAcentral.
UGGAGCAUGUGGUUAAUCGAAGCAACGCGAAGAACCUUACCAGGUCUUGACAUCCCGAUGCUAUUUCUAGAGAUAGAAAGUUACUUCGGUACAUCGGUGACAGGUGGUGCAUGGUUGUCGUCAGCUCGUGUCGUGAGAUGUUGGGUUAAGUCCCGCAACGAGCGCAACCCCUAUUGUUAGUUGCCAUCAUUCAGUUGGGCACUCUAGCGAGACUGCCGGUAAUAAACCGGAGGAAGGUGGGGAUGACGUCAAAUCAUCAUGCCCCUUAUGACCUGGGCUACACACGUGCUACAAUGGUUGGUACAACGAGUUGCGAGUCGGUGACGGCGAGCUAAUCUCUUAAAGCCAAUCUCAGUUCGGAUUGUAGGCUGCAACUCGCCUACAUGAAGUCGGAAUCGCUAGUAAUCGCGGAUCAGCACGCCGCGGUGAAUACGUUCCCGGGCCUU